Molecule: long non-coding RNA, 1581 nt
Organism: Monodelphis domestica (gray short-tailed opossum)
Lineage: Eukaryota; Metazoa; Chordata; Mammalia; Didelphimorphia; Didelphidae
Source: Ensembl
UGAAUCUGAUGGCUGUCAUGCCAGGGAGAUCAGUCCUAAAUGAGACUCUGACUAUGGAGUGUUAAAGAGAUCAUCUGGCUAAACCUUCUCAUUGGCCAGAAGAGGAAUUGGGGAUAAAAGAAACGAUAAGAAAUUCAAGUCCUAUUUGAGUACAUAAGAACAAAACCAGCAUCGCAGUCAAACGUUUCUUGAAAAAAAACUUGGGGUUUAUUGAUUUCUAAACUGCAAACAGUCGUUACAAAAAGAUUUUUCUUUAAAUAAACUCACACAAAGGAAAAAGAAAUAGAAAGCAUCGGUAGUGAACAGUAACAGGAAAGAAGUAAUUACAUUCAUCUUUGUGUAUGUAUGUAUGUGUGUUUGAGUUCUGUUUACACUAAUAUUGGAAAACUCCAAACCUGGAAUACUGAACCACAAAUCUGUGCUCGGAAUGUCUUGAGUAGCACGUGGGAAGUCCAAUGGUUUUGUUUUUUUGUUGUUGUUUUUCCCUUUUAGAAGCUAUACAAAAAAAAGUUGUUUUCCUUCUUUACUGUAUAUUUUUUACCACAACUUUUACAUACAUUCUAAGUCCUAGCUGUGUAAGGUCUAGAAAGAAAGAAACUCAAUUUGCAGUCCAACACAAGGGGGGAAUUUCUAAAAUAAAUAAUCCAACAGUUUUUUGCAUUUUUUCUUUUUAUAGAUGUCACAUGUAUACUGGGGAACUUUUUAGCACCAAAAUCAAAAGUCUUUCAUGGUCCACCUAGCAUUCCCUUCCUCCCUCCCCACUUUAAAAAAAAAUCUGUUUUAAAAAAAUCAUGAAAGUCCCACUUAUGUCACAAAUCUUUGUCCAUUCUCAGCCUUCCUUCCUGCUGACCUGCAUAGACCUAGGCAAGAUUAGUCAACAAGGGGAAUAGGAGGAUGGGUAGGGAAAGGGUUCAGAUACACUGCCAGCUCUCUAUACACAGCAGAGGCCUGGUGGGAAUUGUCCCAAGGGGAGAGGGAGAGAGAGGAGGGGGAUGGGGAAAAGGGGGGCUGAAAGAGAGAAGGUCCAGUUUCUCCUGGCCAGUGGAGGGAGCUGCUGAUUCCAAUGAUCCUGUUCCACUCCCUAAACCCUCCCUCCCUCCACUCACCCCCUUCUCCCCCAUCAUCUCUGAAGGGCAGAGUUAAGAAGGCCCACUGGUGCCCUCUGCAGCUAGAGAGGUAAUGUAGUCACAGUGGAAAAAAAAAAGCUAAGUUUAAAGGCACUAAGUUGUUUUUGUAAACUGUUAACUGCUUUUUGCUUUUGUGAUUUGGCACUUAAGGCUUAAGCCAGAGAGAAAGGCAACUACCAACCAUUGGGACUUUUGUCUUUUAUGUAAAGUGGGGUAGAAAAUUGAUGGGGAAUUGGGGGAAGGAGGAAGUUCAAGCUAGAGAAGGCUACAGACAAAUGGACUUGUCGUUAUAUUAGGUGGGACAAAAAGGGGCGAGGAGUGGGGGGUAUUCCAAGGCUAGGGGAAAAGGGGUUGAGCUUAAUCUUGUUAAUGUAGAGGUUGUAGGGAAAAAUCGAUGAGGGUAAAGGAAUUUGGGCAAGGGGAGAGGGACUGGGGGAGGGGAAUAGGAAGGGGG